ACGAACGCUGGCGGCGUGCUUAACACAUGCAAGUCGAGCGGUAAGGCUCCUUCGGGAGUACACGAGCGGCGAACGGGUGAGUAACACGUGAGCAAUCUGCCCUUCACUUCGGGAUAACUCCGGGAAACCGGUGCUAAUACCGAAUACGACCACUUCAGGCAUCUGAUGGUGGUGGAAAGUUCCGGCGGUGAAGGAUGAGCUCGCGGCCUAUCAGCUUGUUGGUGGGGUGANGGCCUACCAAGGCGACGACGGUUAGUCGGCCUGAGAGGGCGACCGGCCACACUGGGACUGAGACACGGCCCAGACUCCUACGGGAGGCAGCAGUGGGGAAUAUUGCACAAUGGGCGGAAGCCUGAUGCAGCGACGCCGCGUGAGGGAUGACGGCCUGGUGUAAC
This 395-nucleotide ribosomal RNA is filed under the name uncultured bacterium. RNAcentral describes it as "bacterial SSU rRNA". It matches the Rfam family "Bacterial small subunit ribosomal RNA", at positions 29 to 429 of the family's 1533-position model. The record is from RNAcentral.